GUCUUAGCCAAGCAGUUAAUGCGACAGAAUCCAAAUCUGUCUGUGCAGGUUCAAAACCUGUCAAAGAUG
Molecule: non-coding RNA, 69 nt
Organism: Suillus tomentosus
Lineage: Eukaryota; Fungi; Basidiomycota; Agaricomycetes; Boletales; Suillaceae
Source: the annotation of a GenBank genome assembly